RNAcentral lists this ribosomal RNA (254 nucleotides) under uncultured bacterium. RNAcentral describes it as "partial 16S ribosomal RNA". It matches the Rfam family "Bacterial small subunit ribosomal RNA", at positions 524 to 776 of the family's 1533-position model. The record is from RNAcentral.
UACGUAGGGAGCGAGCGUUGUCCGGAUUCAUUGGGCGUAAAGAGCUCGUAGGCGGCUUGGUAAGUCGGAUGUGAAACCUCCAGGCUCAACCUGGAGUCGCCAUCCGAUACUGCCAUGGCUAGAGUCCGGUAGGGGCCCACGGAAUUCCUGGUGUAGCGGUGAAAUGCGCAGAUAUCAGGAGGGACACCGAUGGCGAAGGCAGUGGGCUGGGCCGGCACUGACGCUGAGGCACGAAAGCCAGGGGAGCAAACGGG